This is a long non-coding RNA of Salvia miltiorrhiza (redroot sage), 480 nucleotides long. RefSeq lists it as uncharacterized. The record is from RefSeq and is a predicted model, not a curated record. Lineage: Eukaryota; Viridiplantae; Streptophyta; Magnoliopsida; Lamiales; Lamiaceae. The transcript is spliced from 3 exons.
AGGCCGCGAGGAGGUGACUCAGCAAGUUUCUGAUCGUGAAGUCGAGUUUUCAGCACAACCCGAAAUGUCGACGAAUAAUGAAGCUAUUCCUUUGAAUGCCAUCAAGGAAAAAAUACGAAAUAAAUAUGUGGUUGUCAGAAUUUUGCGCUUAUGGGUUCAAAAAGAUAAAUUGGGCAAGGAAGCACUUGAAAUGAUCGUGAUUGAUGAAUGGGGCAACAAAAUUCAAGCAUCCGUCUCAAUAGGGAACAAGAAAAAGUUUCAUGAGUUACUUAAAGAGGGACAAAUAACAGUUAUUAAAAACUUCCAAGUAGUGCAAAACAAUCCCACAGAAGUUGAUUUUUAAGCAUCGAAAAAUUCUAAAAUCAUCAUAAUUAGAUUGGAUUGGUGGAAGUGUCUAAAAUUAGUUUCUGAGUUCAGAGAAUUGUUUGACUAAAAAUAUAUUUAGUUAACAUCUUUUACUUUAAAACAAACUUAUUUAAU